CGGAUCACAUUAUGUGACAUAUCAUUCAAGUUUCUGACCUAUCAGCUUUAGACGGUAGGGUAUUGGCCUACCGUGGCUAUGACGGGUAACGGGGAAUUAGGGUUCGAUUCCGGAGAGGGAGCCUGAGAAACGGCUACCACAUCUAAGGAAGGCAGCAGGCGCGCAAAUUACCCAAUCCUAAUACAGGGAGGUAGUGACAAGAAAUAACAAUACAGAACCUUACGGUUUUGUAAUUGGAAUGAGUUAAGUAUAAACCCCUUAACAAGUAUCAAUUGGAGGGCAAGUCUGGUGCCAGCAGCCGCGGUAAUUCCAGCUCCAAUAGCGUAUAUUAAAGUUGUUGCAGUUAAAAAGCUCGUAGUUAAUCUUCUGUUAAUUUUUAUAUAUAAUAUCACGAUAUUUAUAUAAUAUUAACAUAAUUCAUAUUACUUUUUAGUAUAUGAAACUUUACUUUGAGAAAAUUAGAGUGCUUAAAGCAGGCUAUUGCCUUGAAUACUCCAGCAUGGAAUAAUAUUAAGGAUUUUUAUUCUUCUUAUUGGUUCUAGAAUAAAAAUGAUGAUUAAUAGGGACAGUUGGGGGCAUUUGUAUUUAACAGUCAGAGGUGAAAUUCUUAGAUUUGUUAAAGAC
RNAcentral lists this ribosomal RNA (624 nucleotides) under Cryptosporidium bovis. RNAcentral describes it as "SSU rRNA". It matches the Rfam family "Eukaryotic small subunit ribosomal RNA", at positions 265 to 936 of the family's 1831-position model. Lineage: Eukaryota; Apicomplexa; Conoidasida; Eucoccidiorida; Cryptosporidiidae. The record is from RNAcentral.